AGCAGUCGCCACGGUAAUACGUAGGUGGCAAGCGUUGUCCGGAAUUAUUGGGCGUAAAGCGCGCGCAGGCGGAUCAGUUAGUCUGUCUUAAAAGUUCGGGGCUUAACCCCGUGAUGGGAUGGAAACUGCUGAUCUAGAGUAUCGGAGAGGAAAGUGGAAUUCCUAGUGUAGCGGUGAAAUGCGUAGAUAUUAGGAAGAACACCAGUGGCGAAGGCGACUUUCUGGACGAAAACUGACGCUGAGGCGCGAAAGCCAGGGGAGCGAACGGGAUUAGAUACCCCAGUAGUCCCUGUCUCUUAUACA
Molecule: ribosomal RNA, 303 nt
Filed under: uncultured bacterium
Lineage: Bacteria
Description: partial 16S ribosomal RNA
Rfam family: Bacterial small subunit ribosomal RNA
Source: RNAcentral